UUAGGCUGUUCACGAUAAGCUGGUUAUCGGGUUAUGUGGUUAUGUGAUUAAGUGAACAACAACAAAAUGCGUGUUAGAAAGUCGUUGCAAUUUUACUAAAUGGCAGCACAAAAAAUAAAUAAAACUAAGCGAAUGGCAUUUCCAUUUAGAUUUUCUUAUUGGAAAAUCUGCUAUUAACAGCUGUUUUUUGUUUACAAUCAGCAAAUUAAAAUCAGAAUAAAAAGCAUCCAAAAGCAUCAACAUCAA
Long non-coding RNA from Bactrocera neohumeralis, 246 nucleotides. RefSeq lists it as uncharacterized. The transcript is spliced from 2 exons. Lineage: Eukaryota; Metazoa; Arthropoda; Insecta; Diptera; Tephritidae. The record is from RefSeq and is a predicted model, not a curated record.